AAAAAAGGUAAGCUACUAAGAGCGAAUGGUGGAUGCCUUGACUGGUAAAGGCGAUGAAGGACGUACUAGACUGCGAUAAGCUACGGGGAGCUGUCAAGAAGCUUUGAUCCGUAGAUUUCCGAAUGGGGCAACCCAAUGUAUAGAGAUAUACAUUACCUAUAUAGGAGCGAACGAGGGGAAUUGAAACAUCUUAGUACCCUCAGGAAAAGAAAUCAAUAGAGAUUGCGUCAGUAGCGGCGAGCGAAAGCGCAAGAGGGCAAACCCAGUGCUUGCACUGGGGGUUGUAGGACUGCAAUGUGCAAGAGCUGAGUUUAGCAGAACAUUCUGGAAAGUAUAGCCAUAGAGGGUGAUAGUCCCGUAUGCGAAAAACAAAGCUUAGCUAGCAGUAUCCUGAGUAGGGCGGGACACGAGGAAUCCUGUCUGAAUCCGGGUCGACCACGAUCCAACCCUAAAUACUAAUACCAGAUCGAUAGUGCACAAGUACCGUGAGGGAAAGGUGAAAAGAACUGAGGUGAUCAGAGUGAAAUAGAACCUGAAACCAUUUGCUUACAAUCAUUCAGAGCACUAUGUAGCAAUACAGUGUGAUGGACUGCCUUUUGCAUAAUGAGCCUGCGAGUUGUGGUGUCUGGCAAGGUUAAGCAAACGCGAAGCCGUAGCGAAAGCGAGUCUGAAUAGGGCGCUUAGUCAGAUGCUGCAGACCCGAAACGAAGUGAUCUAUCCAUGAGCAAGUUGAAGCUAGUGUAAGAACUAGUGGAGGACUGAACCCAUAGGCGUUGAAAAGCCCCGGGAUGACUUGUGGAUAGGGGUGAAAGGCCAAUCAAACUUCGUGAUAGCUGGUUCUCUCCGAAAUAUAUUUAGGUAUAGCGUUGUGUCGUAAUAUAAGGGGGUAGAGCACUGAAUGGGCUAGGGCAUACACCAAUGUACCAAACCCUAUCAAACUCCGAAUACCUUAUAUGUAAUCACAGCAGUCAGGCGGCGAGUGAUAAAAUCCGUCGUCAAGAGGGAAACAACCCAGACUACCAGCUAAGGUCCCUAAAUCUUACUUAAGUGGAAAACGAUGUGAAGUUACUUAAACAACCAGGAGGUUGGCUUAGAAGCAGCCAUCCUUUAAAGAAAGCGUAAUAGCUCACUGGUCUAGUGAUUUUGCGCGGAAAAUAUAACGGGGCUAAAGUAAGUACCGAAGCUGUAGACUUGCGCACAACUUAGAUUAUUUAAGUUUAGAAUAUGAGAAACUAAGUUAUGUUUAGUUAUAUUUUUACUGAUUUUUAUAGAGUAAAGAUAGAAAUAAAACUUAGUAAAAUCAGUAAAAAUAUUCUUAGGCUAAAGUUAAGUAGUUUAAGUUGUGUGCAAGUGGUAGGAGAGCGUUCUAUUUGCGUCGAAGGUAUACCGGUAAGGAGUGCUGGAGCGAAUAGAAGUGAGCAUGCAGGCAUGAGUAGCGAUAAUUAAUGUGAGAAUCAUUAACGCCGUAAACCCAAGGUUUCCUACGCGAUGCUCGUCAUCGUAGGGUUAGUCGGGUCCUAAGUCGAGUCCGAAAGGGGUAGACGAUGGCAAAUUGGUUAAUAUUCCAAUACCAACAUUAGUGUGCGAUGGAAGGACGCUUAGGGCUAAGGGGGCUAGCGGAUGGAAGUGCUAGUCUAAGGUCGUAGGAGGUUAUACAGGCAAAUCCGUAUAACAAUACUCCGAGAACUGAAAGGCUUUUUGAAGUCUUCGGAUGGAUAGAAGAACCCCUGAUGCCGUCGAGCCAAGAAAAGU
RNAcentral lists this ribosomal RNA (1752 nucleotides) under Campylobacter jejuni. RNAcentral's name for it is "partial 23S ribosomal RNA". It matches the Rfam family "Bacterial large subunit ribosomal RNA", at positions 1 to 1618 of the family's 2925-position model. The record is from RNAcentral. Lineage: Bacteria; Pseudomonadati; Campylobacterota; Epsilonproteobacteria; Campylobacterales; Campylobacteraceae.